AAAAAACCGUGGAGGGUCAUUGGAAACUGUUCCAACUUGAGUGCACAAAGGAAAGUGGAAUUCCAUGUGUAGCGGUGAAAUGCGCAGAGAUAUGGAGGAACACCAGUGGCGAAGGCGACUUUCUGGUCUGUAACUGACGCUGAUGUGCGAAAGCGUGGGGAUCAAACAGGAUUAGAUACCCUGGUAGUCCACGCCGUAAACGAUGAGUGCUAAGUGUUAGGGGGUUUCCGCCCCUUAGUGCUGCAGCUAACGCAUUAAGCACUCCGCCUGGGGAGUACGACCGCAAGGUUGAAACUCAAAGGAAUUGACGGGGACCCGCACAAGCGGUGGAGCAUGUGGUUUAAUUCAAAACAACGCGAAGAACCUUACCAAC
RNAcentral lists this ribosomal RNA (373 nucleotides) under Staphylococcus cohnii. Its description in RNAcentral is "bacterial SSU rRNA". It matches the Rfam family "Bacterial small subunit ribosomal RNA", at positions 607 to 978 of the family's 1533-position model. Lineage: Bacteria; Bacillati; Bacillota; Bacilli; Caryophanales; Staphylococcaceae. The record is from RNAcentral.